AAGAACUUGCUGCUGCUGUCUCCGUAAGAUCCAAGUGCGGAGAGUUCCCGUGAUGGAACUGCUGAUGGUUCAACCCUUUAAAGUUCAGGUUUCUGUCUAAGGAAGUUUCUGCGUUCAUAUACCUACCCUCUUUCAAGUCUCUUCCAAGGUCAAUUUGAUCUCUAUCACUUUUCACUAUAUCUGGCAAUUUCUCAGCAGCGACACCCCUAUCGUUUAAGUCCCUAACUAGGUUAAAUCGAGCUCUGACUCUUUUAACUAUAUCCAUCAUCACAUUUUUUGUAUCAACACUCCCCUCGUUCAAGUCUCUUUCAAGGUUAAUUUGAUCUCUGCCACUUUUAAUUUUAUCAGGCACUAUUUUGCCAUCAACGAUACUCUCGUUCAAGUCUCUUUCAAGGUUAAUUUGAUCUCUUCCACUUUUUGUUAUGACUGGAAUUUUGUCAGCAUCAAAAGUCCCCUUGUUCAAGUCCCUUUCAAGGUUAAUUUGAUCUCUGCCACUUUCCAUUAUGUCGGGCACUUUUUCAACAUCAAAACUUCCCUCAUUCAAAUCUUCCUCAAGGUUAAUUUGACCUCUACCACAUUUCAUUAUAACUGGCACUUUUCCAGAAUCAACACUCCCCUCAUCAUGAGCACCUUCAUUGCCAACAGGGAAAUUCUUCAAUGAUGAACUAUCUUCUCCAAGUGAAGCAUCUCCAUUCAUUUCUGACGUCCCACCUUUGCUACAACUGAUGCUGGUUCUAGUUGCUUGAAGAGAAGAUUUGACCUCUGUGCCUAGUCCACCCUCUGCAAGAUUACAUUCUUCCUGCAAAGUAAUUGAUAAAAUAUCAAUGUGUUUAGUAAAGACUUGUAACCAUAACACUUCAAAGUGAACAAAAUAAAACAUUUGAAACCAGGUCAAUAACAAGGAGAAUAAGCAACAAAGAAUCUGUCAGAAAACAGUGCAAAACAUUUGGACCACAAAUUCAUACAUACUACCAGAUAGAAUAGUAAAUAGGAUCUGCAAACGAUCGCAUGGAGCUCCAAACAUCACGCAAAGCAAAUAAACAUUACAAACGGCCAACCUGAGGGCAGCCAGCAGUUGAAUUUGAAAAUUUAUCUGUCAGAUCGGCCGAGUAAUUAGAAGCAUAGAUUGAUUUCUAAGAUUGAAAGGUAGAAAAUGUACAAACUAUCGCGUUUAAUUCCUGUAGUUGUUAACUAUAUAUUUCAGAUAAUUCCUAAAGAUAUAAUUCCUGUAGUUGUUAACUAUAUAUUUCAGAUAAUUCCUACAGAUAUAAGAACACAAUCAACAGACCAGAUAGGUUGGUAUGAUCAUUUACUAUGCAUGAGGGCAUGAAUAUAUAGAAACCUAGUAAUUGCUUAAUGAAACAACCAUGAUGCGCUUGACACAUUGGUUUUCUAAUAUACAAACAUGUCCCAAAUCAGGGUUCUUUUUUUUUUUUUUAUAAUUUUGUUUUACUAUACAAACAUGUCCCAAAUCAGGGUUCUUUUUUUUUUUUUUUAUAAUUUUGUUUUACAACAAAUUUGAAUGAACAAUUUAUAUAGGAAAAUAAGAAUUAUAUACAUGGUAAGGGACAAGCUUCCUGUGCAGACAAAACAGGAAAACAAAUCCCAACCCAAUAUCAAAUUAGGAAUCCAAUUAGAAAACACAAAAACCAAAAAAUGCUCUAUAAAACAAAAACCAAAAACAGAAACAUCCAUAUGGAAGUUAACAUUACCAGGGGAGGCCUUGCACAUCUUAUUUCUCCAGACAACAGUGGAACAGUCAUUGCAGCC
Molecule: long non-coding RNA, 1770 nt
Filed under: Citrus sinensis (sweet orange)
Lineage: Eukaryota; Viridiplantae; Streptophyta; Magnoliopsida; Sapindales; Rutaceae
Description: long non-coding RNA (CSIN_LNC005322)
Source: RNAcentral